This 55-nucleotide microRNA precursor is filed under the name Oreochromis niloticus (Nile tilapia). RNAcentral's name for it is "microRNA oni-mir-10630 precursor". Lineage: Eukaryota; Metazoa; Chordata; Actinopteri; Cichliformes; Cichlidae. The record is from miRBase by way of RNAcentral.
UGACUGGGAUGGCUGCAGAGUUUGUGUAAAAAGAAUCUGCACCCAUCUUUGCUGC